AUUGAACGCUGGCGGCAGGCCUAACACAUGCAAGUCGAGCGGGUCGGCGGACGGGGGAGGGAUGCCUAGGAAUCUACCCGGGAGUGGGGGAUGACGACCAGAAACGGGAGCUAAUACCGCAAGCUCUCAGAUACGCCUAGGUCGGAUUUGCUAGUUGGUGGGGUAAAGGCAUACCAAGGCGACGAGCCGUAGCUGGACUGAGAGGUUGAGCAGUCACAAUGGAAAUGAGACACGGUCCAGACUCCUACGGGAGGAAGCAGUGGGGAAUAUUGGACAAGGGGCGAAAGCCUGAUUCAGCCAUGCCGCGUGUAUGAAGAAGGUCUUCGGAUUGUAAAGCAAUUUAAGAUAGGAGGCGUUACCAACAGAAUAAGCACCGGAUAACUUCGUGCCAGCAGCCGCGGUAAUUC
This 407-nucleotide ribosomal RNA is filed under the name uncultured bacterium. Its description in RNAcentral is "partial 16S ribosomal RNA". It matches the Rfam family "Bacterial small subunit ribosomal RNA", at positions 29 to 526 of the family's 1533-position model. The record is from RNAcentral.